This 309-nucleotide ribosomal RNA is filed under the name uncultured archaeon. RNAcentral's name for it is "bacterial SSU rRNA". It matches the Rfam family "Archaeal small subunit ribosomal RNA", at positions 526 to 834 of the family's 1478-position model. The record is from RNAcentral.
CGGCCAUGUAAGUCCGCUGUGAAAUCCACGCGCUCAACGUGUGGAAGCGCAGCGGAUACUGCAUGGCUAGGGACCGGAAGGCGUCGAGGCUAUUCCAGGGGUAGGAGUGAAAUCCAAAAAUCCCUGAAGGAGCACCUGUGGCGAAAGCGCUCGGCGAUUACGGAUCCGACGGUGAGGGACGAAAGCCAGGGGAGCAAAGGGGAUUAGAUACCCUCGUAGUCCUGGCCGUUAACAAUGUCCGUUUGAUGUCGGCUAACCUCCGAGGUUAGCCGGUGCCGAAGUAAAAACGUUAAACGGACCGCCUGGGUA